Lemur catta (Ring-tailed lemur) is the source of this 3461-nucleotide RNA transcript. It is a transcript of the gene named NK2 homeobox 1, with no coding region annotated. The record is from RefSeq and is a predicted model, not a curated record. Lineage: Eukaryota; Metazoa; Chordata; Mammalia; Primates; Lemuridae. The transcript is spliced from 7 exons.
CAUAGGGUUUGUACCUACAAAACAUCACAGCACUGUUACUGUGCUUCAGAGACAUGCAGGGGUCCCAGGGCAAAUCAAAAUGUUUUUAAAUGUAUGAUAUGUGUGAAGUUGAUGAAAAUUCAUGACUUCUCUCUGUCAGGGCUGCUUGAGCUGAAAUCAUCAGAGAAAGAAAGGCAAAUUGUGAAAACUUUGACACUGCAAGACUUUGUUAAAUUAGUAACCAAGGACAUCAUCAUCUUAGCAACAGCAAGUCUUGGAAAAGGGCCUGGAUUCCCAUGGAUGCAGUUCUGGAUCUUGGGAGAGAGAAAGGACUGUGCAUAAAAACCAGAAGACUCAUGUUUACUCAAGCCUCCUAAGACUUUGGAGAGCCAGCUAAUAUUGCUUUGGGAACAUCUGAUGCAGAGAUGUUAUACACUGUUCAGAGAACUACAUAGAUCUGAUGCCCAACCUCCAAAAGUUUACGAUCCAAGGAAGACAUACUGAUGUGAAGAUUCAUCAAAUGCAGACAAGAGCUAUUACAACUACCCCAUGGAUGGCCCUCCAAAUGAGUCCAAGAGCGUAAUAACCAAUGGCUGCUCUCAGAAAGGUACUGUAACCAUCACCUGCUCGGUUCUCUAACUUCCUCCCCCAUUUCCUUCUUGAUUCCCCUUUGCUGCAUCACCUUCCUGGCCCCCAGCCCUGCCUCAGAUCCCAGACUAACCCUGCCCUUAGUCAGUGGAGGUGGUGGGUGGCACUAGUUUGAAGAGUGUACUAGAUCUCCUAGUAGCUAGUCAGCCUGGAGUUGUGUUUGGAAACCUCAGGCCCUGACCGUGGCUGUCAGACCUCCCAAACACCAUCUGCUGCUGUCAUCAUCAUCAUCUUCGGGUGCUGUCCCCCUCAGCCUGGGCCUCCUCCUCUACCUCCGCUUCAGGUGUCCCACAACAAAGGAGCUCAUCUAGAUUCCAGGAACAAACCCAUCCUUGUUUGAUUCAUUCACACUGAAGGUAAAAACAGCAUUAAUAACCACAAUGGAUCCUUAGUGAGUGCUUGCUAUUAUUCAUUUAAUUAUUGGCCCUUCCAUUCCUGGCCAUGACAAGAGGUACGCUAUAACUUAACUCCUGAAGAGACUCAAUGGCACAUGUGGACAACCAUAUCGGGCAUAUUAUCCCUGGCAUCAAAAUUAGUAUCCUCCAUCUACGCAGAAUAGGCCCAACGGAAAGGGGAAAAUGAACGCCUACCUGUGCCACUGCUUUGGUGCCAAGUCCAGGAACAGUGCCUAUCCUGCUGCAUCUGGCAACGCAGUCACAGAGAAGGAGGUCGGUAGAAGCUGAGGCACUGUCAUGAGAAUAUGCAUUAAAAGUAGCAGGAGUGACUAUCCUGGGGCAAAUGCUCUUCCUGUGGAAUAUCCAUCCCCUUUUCCUAGUUCUUGUUCUUCCACAGUCUGAUCUUUGUUUUGCUGUUUUCCACCUACCAGAGUAGUAGAAGUAAAAUUAAAAGAAUUCUAAAUAGCUUUUUUAUCCUGUUAGAUUCAUGUCAGUAUGAACCCAUGGUCAGAAAAGAAGUUUAAAAUCUUUUUGUUUGUAAGGCUUCUGCCCUAUCCAUAUUAGAUUUAAGCUUUUUUUCAAAUUUAUUUCACUACUCAUACUUCCUGUGCAUGAAUCAUAUAAUCACGUCCUUUGCCCAUGUAACUAUUGGGAAUAUUGUUAGAAUUCACAUGCAUGUUUGAAUACAUUUUUAUAUACUUGGAGAAGAUAACUCUAUUUUCCAUUUGUGGUAAAAAAAAUUUUAUUGUUAGUUAUUUCUAUUGCUUAAAAAUUUAUGUUCCUAUAUUUGACUAAUUUACUUCAUUUUUAAUUUCUUUAUUUGCUCCAAUUUUAAGAAAAUUAUCACUUUAAAGUGAGAUUAAAAGCCCUAGUCUUUUCUUCGGGUUUUAUUCACCACCAUUCCUGACAUAUUACUCUGACAUUCACUGGGCCUCAAAGUCUGAUUACCAAUUACUCUUCAAUGCAUUAUUUUCACAAAAGUUGAACAUUUGUGUUAUGAUUUAAACUGUGUAGCUACUUUGAGAGUCUACCAUCCACCUGUUUAUCCUGUAUUUAGAACUAUUUCCCAUGUUUUUUGUUGUCCAAGGGGGUUUGUGGCUUACAUUCAAACCUAAGUUCAUUCAUUCAUUCAUUUAUUCAUUUACUAUGUGUGUUACACAAACUUUAGGGUGGUCUCCAGUAACCCCUGCUUCCUGAUGUUCACCCUUGAGUGUGGGCAGGACCUGCAACUUGCUUCUAACCAAUAGAAUAUGGUAAAAGUAAUAAGAUAUCCUUCCUGUACUUGUGUUACAUAAGACUCUGUCUUGCUAGCAGACUCAUUCUAGGGAUUCUUUGUGUUGGCUUGAUGAAGUAAGUGGUCAUGCUGGGGAAGCCCACAAAAUGAGGAACACUGGGCAGACUCCAGCCAGCAGCCAGAAAGAAGCCUGGAUCCUUUGUCUCGGAGCUGUAAGGAAAUGAAUUCUGCGAAGAAUGGAGCAAGCUUGAAAGAGGCUUCUUCUUCCAGUCAAGCCUCCAGAUGAGAACACAGCCCAGAUGUUAAUUAUUCAAGCUGCACGAUUGAGGAUUUCAGAGUCAGAGAUUCACCUGCAACAUUUGGAAUACCAGUGGAGGUCUACAUCAACACAGAAUUUAUACAGCAGCUGGUGUUAGUCAAAGCUAAUGAUGGAAUUUCAGUGUAAUAAAAAGACCCCCAACUGAGCAAACUAUCUUGAAAAAAGUAUACUUAUCAAACGGCUUUCAAUCAGUUCAAGAGAGACACCUUAAUUGGGAAGAGGAAGAAUUUCAGAGUAGUUUGUCAUCAUGCCAAUUCCAGAUCAAUAACUACAUGUCUGCUUUUUGGUAGACAUAACUUUUGCUUUAUAUUAAGUAAUCACAUCUACACCGUUUCUAUUUUGGUGGCAGAAGGACUUGUUGAGAUAAAACUUUCAGCUUGGAUUUUCAAGUGACAUGGAUGAGCAGAGCCACCAUGGUGAUCCAUGUUGGACAGAGGGAAUGAGAGAGAAAUAAAGUUGGUCAUGUUAAGUCAAAGAGACUAUGAGAUGCUUUGUUACUGCAGUAUCACCUAGCUCAUGCUGAUUGAGGAGGUUGCUGUGAGGCCUAUGUUAAAUACAUAUAAAGACAUGUAUCCAAAGUCAGGAAUCAAGUUACAGAUUAAUAAAUGUUAGCCAAUAUCAUUAAAAUUAUUAGAGAAUAACAACAAUAGUAAAGCUACUCUUGUGUCUUGAGGCAGGACAUUCUGGCCAUAUGGUUUAAUUUCAGGUGGUUAAGAAGAUAUGUGUACUAGAAGAAAUAUCUGUUCUGCCUACUGAACAUUGCUCCAUACUAUAGUUAAAAGUUUAGUGUCUGUUAAAAUGCUAACCAUUUCACAUUGGCAAGAUGACAGUCCAUUAAUACAAGAAAAGAAACUUAAAACAUAUUUGAAGAUCAUGAUUUAUGUCA